This 526-nucleotide ribosomal RNA is filed under the name uncultured bacterium. RNAcentral's name for it is "partial 16S ribosomal RNA". It matches the Rfam family "Bacterial small subunit ribosomal RNA", at positions 355 to 874 of the family's 1533-position model. The record is from RNAcentral.
UGGGGAAUAUUGCACAAUGGGCGAAAGCCUGAUGCAGCCAUGCCGCGUGUGUGAAGAAGGCCUUCGGGUUGUAAAGCACUUUCAGCGAGGAGGAAGGUGGUGAACUUAAUACGUUCAUCAAUUGACGUUACUCGCAGAAGAAGCACCGGCUAACUCCGUGCCAGCAGCCGCGGUAAUACGGAGGGUGCAAGCGUUAAUCGGAAUUACUGGGCGUAAAGCGCACGCAGGCGGUUUGUUAAGUCAGAUGUGAAAUCCCCGGGCUCAACCUGGGAACUGCAUUUGAAACUGGCAAGCUAGAGUCUCGUAGAGGGGGGUAGAGUUCCAGGUGUAGCGGUGAAAUGCGUAGAGAUCUGGAGGAAUACCGGUGGCGAAGGCGGCCCCCUGGANGAAGACUGACGCUCAGGUGCGAAAGCGUGGGGAGCAAACAGAUUAGAUACCCUGGUAGUCCACGCUGUAAACGAUGUCGAUUUGGAGGUUGUGCCCUUGAGGCGUGGNUUCCGGAGCUAACGCGUUAAAUCGACCGCCU